UGAGUACGAGCUGCUACGGCAGCGAAGUGGGUGAUGUCAAGCUUCCAAGAAACCCCUAUACCCGUUAAGGCAUGACGGCCUGUACCCGAAACCGACACAGGUGGGUAGGUAGAGUAUACUAAGGGGCGCGAGAUAACUCUCUCUAAGGAACUCGGCAAAAUGACUCCGUAACUUCGGGAGAAGGAGUGCCUCAUUUAUAAGGUUGCAAUAACAAGAUCCAAGCAACUGUUUAUCAAAAGCACAGGUCUCCGCUAAGUCGUAAGACGAUGUAUGGGGGCUGACGCCUGCCCAGUGCCAGAAGGUUAAAGAAGUUGGUUAGUGUAUGCGAAGCUGAUGACUGAAGCCCUGGUGAACGGCGGCCGUAACAAUAACGGUCCUAAGGUAGCGAAAUUCCUUGUCGGGUAAGUUCCGACCCGCACGAAAGGCGUAAUGAUUUGGAUACUGUCUCGGAGAGAGGCUCGGUGAAAUAGACUUGUCUGUGAAGAUGCGGACUACCUGCACCAGGACAGAAAGACCCUAUGAAGCUUUACUGUAACUUGAAAUUGGAAUUGGACUUUGCUUGCGCAGUAUAGGUGGGAAGCGUUGAAAAUAUUCUUGCGGGAGUAUUGGAGCUAUCAGUGAGAUACCACUCUUGUAAUGUUAGAUUUCUAACUUUGAACCAUAAUCUGGUCAAAGAACAGUUUCAGGUGGGCAGUUUGACUGGGGCGGUCGCCUCCCAAAUGGUAACGGAGGCGUACAAAGGUUUCCUCUGAACGGAUAGAAAUCGUAUCUAGAGUGUAAAGGCAUAAGGAAGCUUGACUGUGAGACCUACAAGUCGAGCAGGGACGAAAGUCGGUCUUAGUGAUCUGACGGUACUGAGUGGAAAGGCCAUCACUCAACGGAUAAAAGUUACUCUAAGGAUAACAGGCUGAUCUCCCCCAAGAGUUCACAUCGACGGGGAGGUUUGGCACCUCGAUGUCGGCUCAUCGCAUCCUGGGGCGGUAGUACGUCCCAAGGGUUGGGCUGUUCGCCCCAAAAGCGGUACGCGAGCUGGGUUCAGAACGUCGUGAGACAGUUCGGUCCAUAUCCGGUGUAGGCGCUAGAAUAUUGAGAGGAGCCUUCUUUAGUACGAGAGGACCGAGAAGGACACACCGCUGGUGUACCAGUUAUCGUGCCAACGGUAAACGCUGGGUAGCUAUGUGUGGAGUGGAUAACCGCUGAAAGCAUCUAAGUGGGAAGCCCACCUCGAGAUGAG
This 1234-nucleotide ribosomal RNA is filed under the name metagenome. Its description in RNAcentral is "bacterial LSU rRNA". It matches the Rfam family "Bacterial large subunit ribosomal RNA", at positions 1564 to 2808 of the family's 2925-position model. The record is from RNAcentral.